This is a non-coding RNA of Pelobates cultripes (western spadefoot toad), 204 nucleotides long. The record is from the annotation of a GenBank genome assembly. NCBI's taxonomy places the organism in Eukaryota, Metazoa, Chordata, Amphibia, Anura, Pelobatidae.
CGUCACUUCCCUUCCGGGUGAAGGAGGCGCAACGUGUCCCUCUGCUUUUUCAUUUCAGCCAAAGGCUAAAAUAGCCCCAGCAGCCGCUAGUAUCCAGGAUCCAGACCUGAAAGGGUUAACUGAUGAGAUGCCAACCACUAGUUCUCGCUUGACGGUUCAAGAUAUUCCUAAGAAAGAUGGGCCUGUGGGUAAGACUGAGCAUUC